GGGGGAGUAGCUCAGCGGUGAGAGCGAUGGCAUAACCUGCCGUAGGUCGCUGGUUCGAGUCCGGCCUCUCCUU
Molecule: transfer RNA, 73 nt
Filed under: Rhizobium leguminosarum
Lineage: Bacteria; Pseudomonadati; Pseudomonadota; Alphaproteobacteria; Hyphomicrobiales; Rhizobiaceae
Also listed under: 1 other name
Description: tRNA-Val
Rfam family: tRNA
About the family: Transfer RNA (tRNA) molecules are approximately 80 nucleotides in length. Their secondary structure includes four short double-helical elements and three loops (D, anti-codon, and T loops). Further hydrogen bonds mediate the characteristic L-shaped molecular structure. tRNAs have two regions of fundamental functional importance: the anti-codon, which is responsible for specific mRNA codon recognition, and the 3' end, to which the tRNAs corresponding amino acid is attached (by aminoacyl-tRNA synthetases). tRNAs cope with the degeneracy of the genetic code in two manners: having more than one tRNA (with a specific anti-codon) for a particular amino acid; and 'wobble' base-pairing, i.e. permitting non-standard base-pairing at the 3rd anti-codon position.
Source: RNAcentral